This is a long non-coding RNA of Triticum aestivum (bread wheat), 1422 nucleotides long. RefSeq lists it as uncharacterized. The record is from RefSeq and is a predicted model, not a curated record. The transcript is spliced from 5 exons. Lineage: Eukaryota; Viridiplantae; Streptophyta; Magnoliopsida; Poales; Poaceae.
AGAUGCUAAUGGUUGUAAUUAACAAGGCAGUUUUCAGAUGUUUUUUCUUCAGGAACUUGAAAAGAAUAGGUCUAAAUCCAUGCAAAAAGAAGAGAAUAGGUCUAAAUGAUUAAGCAUCACUUCUGCCAUUAGUUGCAAAACUUGUUUUGUGGGUCAAUGGGUAGGAAAGAAAGAUUCGACAGUUGCUUAAGAGUAACUAUGUCAAAUGCCAACAUAAGUAACGAUUUUAUUUCUGAGUUAGGUACGAAAGAAUGUGAUAGAGAAAAAAGAUUUUGCUUUAUCUAAAGAAUGUGAUAGAUAUAAAGGAGUUUGCUUUAUCUCUUAUCCCGCCUAUGACGUGAAUAUGUUUAGCUCAUAUGUGUAUGUCAUUAACUGAUUAGCAGUUUAGCACAAGACCAUUUUUCUGCUUCUUUGGUUGAGUAUCCUCUCUUCAAAUUUUUUGAUUGAUGCACCAAACAGUAAUUUGUAGUUUGUUACUCUAGAGGUUAAGAAAAUAUACUUCGGGCUUGGGGAUUUUUUUUGAGUAAAAACUAAUCAUGGUUAAUGUUUCAGAUGUAAGAUGUUGUCUGCACCCCGUGUAAUUUUCGUCAGUUUCUUUUCUCAGUGUGGAGACUAUGCCAGUGGAGAGACCAACGACGAUUACCUUGAGAUAGUGGGAUGUGCAUGGAAGGAGCGACUAACUAUGUAGAGGAAAGCUGCGCUCGCCGGCACUGGUCAGGGGCCUAAAUGAUUGAGGAGUGAAAUUAGAUCAUGGCCUUUCAUGUUUGAAGGGAUAUAGUAUUACGAUAACUCUCAAAAAUCAAUAUUGUAUAAUGACAGAAGUUAAUAAUCUAAAUCAGCAGGAGCAAGCUUUGGAUGAGUGUAUAUACUAGCGAGAUGUGCGGAAAGCUAAGCGGGUUAAUGGAAGAUGAGAAUGGUCGAAGCAGAGUUGCGGUGACGGUGUCAACCAUGAUGUUAUAGGGAGAUGCACUACUGGAUGCCAUUCUAUUUGCUCCAUGUGCAAUUUGGUAAAAUUGAUUCAUGUUUUAAAUUCAAAAGUUAUGUUCUUUCAGGUUGUAAACUGCAUCCUAUAGUUAUUCAUGCAUUUUUGUCGACGUGAUGACACGUAUAAAACACAUUGUCAAUGUUUAGAUGAUGGUGGUAUAAGAAGAAAAUAAACUGCUAUUUUUUAUCCUCGACAAGAUAUUUUGGGUCCUUUUUCUGUGCUAGCAUCUUUUCUUUUGGAAUGGGAUAGUUAAUGGUGCUCUUAUAAAAAAAAUUGUUGUCUCCCUUCAUUCCGAAAUAUAAGCCCUUUUAGAGAUUUCAAUAGGACUACAUACGGAUGUAUAAGCUUCAUAUGUAGUCCAUAUUGGAAUCUCUAGAAAGGCUUAUAUUUAGGAACGGAGGGAGUACAAGAAAAACAACUGCGGCCACCUUUUUUUA